Molecule: ribosomal RNA, 406 nt
Filed under: uncultured bacterium
Lineage: Bacteria
Description: partial 16S ribosomal RNA
Rfam family: Bacterial small subunit ribosomal RNA
Source: RNAcentral
AUUGAACGCUGGCGGCAGGCUUAACACAUGCAAGUCGAACGAGUGGCGGACGGGGGAGUAAUGUCUUGGACACUGCCUGAUGGAGGGGGUUAACUACUGGUAACGGUAGCUAAUACCGCAUCCCAUCGGAUGUGCCCCGAUGGGAUUAGUUAGUAGGUGGGGUAACGGCUCACCUAGGCGACGAUCCCUAGCUGGUCUGAGAGGCUGACAAGCCACACUGGAACUGAGACAGCGACAAUGGGCCUACGGGAGGCAGCAGAGGGGAACAGUGGGCAGUGGGCGCAAGUCUGAUGCAGUCAGGCCGCGUCUAUGGAGAAGGCCUUGGGUGUGUAAAGUACUUUCAGCGGUGGGGCGUUAGUCGCAGAAGAAGCACCGGCUAACUCCGUGCCAGCAGCCGCGGUAAUAC